GAUGAACGCUGGCGGCGUGCUUAACACAUGCAAGUCGAACGGUGAAGGCGGAGCUUGCUCUGCUGGAUCAGUGGCGAACGGGUGAGUAACACGUGAGCAAUCUGCCCCUGACUCUGGGAUAAGCGCUGGAAACGGCGUCUAAUACUGGAUACGAGCUGCGAAGGCAUCUUCAGCAGCUGGAAAGAAUUUCGGUCAGGGAUGAGCUCGCGGCCUAUCAGCUUGUUGGUGAGGUAAUGGCUCACCAAGGCGUCGACGGGUAGCCGGCCUGAGAGGGUGACCGGCCACACUGGGACUGAGACACGACCCAGACUCCUACAGGAGGCAGCAGUGUCGAAUAUUACACAAUGGGCGAAAGCCUGAUGCAGCAACGCCGCGUGAGGGACGACGGCCUUCGGGUUGUAAACCUCUUUUAGCAGGGAAGAAGCGAAAGUGACGGUACCUGCAGAAAAAGCGCCGGCUAACUACGUG
Molecule: ribosomal RNA, 468 nt
Filed under: uncultured bacterium
Lineage: Bacteria
Description: partial 16S ribosomal RNA
Rfam family: Bacterial small subunit ribosomal RNA
Source: RNAcentral